GUGCUCACUUUGGCAGCAUAUAUACUGAAAUUGGAAUGAUACAGAGAAGAUUAGCAUGGCCCCUGUGCAAGGAUGACAUGCAAAUUCAUGAAGCAUUCCAUAUUUUU
RNAcentral lists this small nuclear RNA (107 nucleotides) under Jaculus jaculus (lesser Egyptian jerboa). Lineage: Eukaryota; Metazoa; Chordata; Mammalia; Rodentia; Dipodidae. The record is from RNAcentral.